AGUGAACGCUGGCGGCAGGCCUAACACAUGCAAGUCGAACGGCAGCACAGUAAGAUCUUGCCCUUACGGGUGGCGGGUGGCGGACGGGUGAGGAAUACAUCGGAAUCUACUUUUUCGGGGGGGAUAACGUAGGGAAACUUACGCUAAUACCGCAUACGACCUACGGGUGAAAGCAGGGGAUCUUCGGACUUUGCGCGAUUGAAUGAGCCGAUGUCGGAUUAGCUAGUUGGGUGGGUAAAGGCCCACCAAGGCGACGAUGCGUAGCUGGUCUGAGAGGAUGAUCAGCCACACUGGAACUGAGACACGGUCCAGACUCCUACGGGAGGCAGCAGUGGGGAAUAUUGGACAAUGGGCGCAAGCCUGAUCCAGCCAUACCGCGUGGGUGAAGAAGGCCUUCGGGUUGUAAAGCCCUUUUGUUGGGAAAGAAAAGCAGCAGGUUAAUACCCCGCUGUUCUGACGGUACCCAAAGAAUAAGCACCGGCUAACUUCGUG
RNAcentral lists this ribosomal RNA (492 nucleotides) under uncultured bacterium. Its description in RNAcentral is "partial 16S ribosomal RNA". It matches the Rfam family "Bacterial small subunit ribosomal RNA", at positions 29 to 507 of the family's 1533-position model. The record is from RNAcentral.